UUGAAAGGGAAACGAUUGAAGUCAGUCGUACNGCGGAGGAUCAACCUUUGAAAGCGGGNGAGGUAUUNGAGGAGUUUAAAAGCCUCUUGCGUCACGCCUUCGUCCUCUUUGGUGACUUCUUCUAUGGUAGGUUAACAUCAAUUUUGGNGUUAAAAAUGAUUGGGGGAAUGUAGCUUCGAUUUUUUCGAAGUGUUACAGNCUUGGUAGAUGUGAAGACNGGGAUUGAGGAUUGAAACGAAUGAUUUCGGGUUAUCCNNCUGACCUCCCUGGUGGUUGCUUUAGGGUCGAAAGCGUGCUUACGACUUUAAAGUUGGUNUAUCAAACNUCCCCNCNCNNNCNNNCCGUUAAGGAUGUUGACGUA
Molecule: ribosomal RNA, 361 nt
Filed under: uncultured Glomeromycotina
Lineage: Eukaryota; Fungi; Glomeromycota
Description: partial large subunit ribosomal RNA
Source: RNAcentral